This is a long non-coding RNA of Oncorhynchus tshawytscha (Chinook salmon), 1559 nucleotides long. NCBI's taxonomy places the organism in Eukaryota, Metazoa, Chordata, Actinopteri, Salmoniformes, Salmonidae. The record is from Ensembl.
GUUCUUUUCCCUUUUACUGUUUCUUGUUUGCUUUUACUUCUUAUUAUUUUACUGUAAAAUGUACUGUAAAAUGUACUGUAAAAUUUGUUUUGAUACGAUUUGAGGCGGAGGAAGAGGAGCCUUCCCAGCCCUUCACCCAACUCCAGCUCCAGGAGGCCAAGCGGCUGGUCCUCAGCCUGAUGAGGGAAUCCAAACUGGGGCUGGUCGCUGUCACCAAGGCGCUCCUGAAAAACAGUGGAGAUGUCUCCGCUGCCCUGAGAGACCCACUGAUGAUGCCUAACGUAGGGAACGGGGUUCAGCAGGGCCCUCAAUGGGAACGUCAUGACGACCGCCUGCUGCUGUCAGCUGAUCCUUCGGAACUCCAGAACAAGUUUGGGGAAGAGGGAGUGGCCAAGAGGAUGGCUUUCCUCUAUGCAGAGUGACACUGGGGGGGGUUCAAUAGUAUGCAACAUGGUGCGACCUUUAGUUCUGAACAACACGUUUCCACCCCCACCCCCCAAAAAAAAAAGGAUACCCACCAUUCUUCAGCAUUCUUUGAGGUAUGAUUGCUCCUGUUUGGUCCGUGUGGCCUGAUCAAUAUGGGUCCGACAUUACAAUUUUAAAUCGCAAAAUUUCAUGCAGCCAGCACACCAUAAACAAUCAUACCUCUGGGCUAACAAUAAUUACAAUGUUGUUUCCUACUGAACGCGUUCCUGUGUUGUAUUAACUAAAUGGAUAAAAACAGGAAGGACUACCUUAGCCCUUGAUCAUGACUGGCAGUUAUAUUCUAUUAUAAAAUAAGAGUCCUUGGACGAAGGUGCAUUCUGUACGGGAGAGUUUUGUCAAAGAGUUCCGACGCUCGGUCUGAACAUUUAACGAGCAUCGUUUCGCGGUACGGUUUGGGAAGCAUAAGGACUUUAUCUUUCAUUUAAGCAAGAAGGCUAAAUUCAUACAUACCUUUUAUAGGGUUCAUACACGGCCGUAUCUCCAUUUAAGCACUAGUUUAGGGAAAACAUACGGAAGACAGAGUGGACUACCUGUGCUAGUUAGUUAUCAGCGUCUCCGAACAUCUGUGUGUAAAUGGAAGAUGACAAACGUGUUGUCACUGAAAAAUACUGUCGUCUGCAACUGUGUUGAAACCGGUUAAAACGGAGUACAGUGUUUAUUUUGUGUAUUUUGCAUUUGGGAAAUUAAUUUGAUGUGAUAUGUAAAGUAGAGAACUUUUAUUUUUCUAUAACCGUACUGCAAUUGAGAAUCGAUUCAUGUUUAGUUGGGAGUAUUUGGCCAUUUUCCAGAGCCACUUCGUCUUUAAAUAGAACAUGUUAGGUACUUGGACUAAGGAGUAACAUUGGGCUCAUUAUAGUCAGUCCAUUAUUGGGCUAUGAAAUGCCAUGUCCCAUGUAAAGAUGGCACAUUUUAACUUGUAAUAUUUUAACUUUUGUAAUGUGUCUGUUUGGAAUUCAAAAUGUGCUAUUUUUAUAUUUUUCAAUAGUAAACAUGCUACAUAUGUGAAAUAUACUGUAUGCAUAUGACGAUUUGUGACAAUUUGCCAUUGUAAUAAAAUAACUGAUGUAAUUCGC